AAUCUGCAAGCCAGCUUCACCCCUCCCAUCGAGUUCUGGUCAGGAGGCUUCUGGUUGAGUUCAAAUUGCUAUAAAGUUCAGCUGGAGCCUUCCUUCUCCCUGUGGCCUUUUCCCAGUACCUCUGGCCACCCUCCCGAAGGACCUUUGUAAGGCCAGGCAAAAAUGGCUUGCUAGGGGACCCAGUGAUCUCCCAGGGCUUUUUCCAACUGCUUCCUCUUCCCCUAUAUUUUGCUUGGCUCUCUAAAUCGACUCAGCUCCAGGGUCUCCCUCUGUUGCCCAGGCUGGAGGACAGUGGUAUAAUCAUAGCUAACUGCAGCUUUGAACUCCUGAGAACAGCAAUCCUCCUUCCUCGGUCUUCCGCAGCAUUGGGAUUACAGGUCCUGAAGAAAAUGAAGUUGAUGUUUCAGUGAGACACCUGUAUGCCAGAGAGUAAAAGGGAUUAUUGUGGAUUCCUGAGAAUUUUCUACAUAUGAAAUCAUGUCAUCUAUGAACAGAGAUGGGACUGUCUCGUUGGAGGAAAACAAGCUCAGGGCUCCCACUGAUUCCACAUUAUGGUGAGUUGUAUAAUUACUUCAUUAUAUAUUACAAUGUAAUAAUAAUAGAAAUAAAGCACACAAUAAAUGUAAUGCACUUGAAUAAACUCAAAACCAUUCCCACUGACUCUGGUCUGUGGAAAAGUUGUUUUCCAUGAACCAGUCCCUGGUUCCAAAAACGUUGGAAACUGCUAAUUUAGCAGUUUACAUACUGUCUUUGUGGUUUUGGAAAACUACUAAACAAUUUCAAGUAAUACAUAAAUAAUUUAAGGACAUAGACACGAACAAUGAGAAUGUGAACAACAGAACUCAUGGGAAAAUAAGUAGAGCAGUUACCCAUGAAGGGG
RNAcentral lists this long non-coding RNA (880 nucleotides) under Homo sapiens (human). RNAcentral's name for it is "HSALNT0376631". The record is from RNAcentral. Lineage: Eukaryota; Metazoa; Chordata; Mammalia; Primates; Hominidae.